GUACGUGAAACCGCUUGAGUCAAACGGGUGGGACCUCGAAAUCCGAUGACGAAUCGAUUCACGUCCACUGCGGGUGUGUGAUUGGCGUUUGCGUAAUAGAGGGUUUCGGCCUUUUGUUUGCUGCGUUGGUUAGUGCACGCUUGCGGUGGGUCGGCAUUUCGUUUCGUCGGUAGGGCGUCAUGCGACCACUGAGGGGACGUUAGUAGGGCUAUUAUCGGAAGUUGGUUGCGGCAUUCGCAAUGUCUGCUGCAGCUAUAUAACCGUGUAGCUCGGGGCUAUCGAAAACUCAGUGUGGAUGUCAAAACUGGCCUUGCGUUUCGCGUGGGCAGCUUCAUCGGCAUGCUGAUUGUGGCGUUGUAUCGUGCUUGCGCGAUCAGCGUUGUAUGAUGCGAGUCGCUCUGGGGUUGUCUGCGUUGAGUAGGGUUGUCGCGGCGAGUAGGUCGGUAACCCACCCGACCCGUCUUGAAACACGGACCAAGAAGUGCAACAUAUACGCGAGUCAAUGAGCUACCUGUACCUCAAUGGCGUAAUGAAAUGUGAAUUUCACGUGUGAUCUGUAUAGUUUACUAUGCAGCGCAACGCGGGCCCCUCUGGUUUGUCGCAAGACGCCGGUGGGAGCUAGAGCGUAUAUGUUGCGACCCGAAAGAUGGUGAUCUAUGCCUGGGCAAGACGAAGCCAGAGGAAACUCUGGUGGAGGUUUGAAGCGUUUCUGACGUGCAAAUCGAUCGUCUGACCUGGGUAUAGGGGCGAAAGACCAAUCGAACCAUCUAGUAGCUGGUUCCCUCCGAAGUUUCCCUCAGGAUAGCUUGUACUUAUAAAAACCAGUAUCAUCCGGUAAAGCGAAUGAUUAGAGGAAUUGGGGUCUCAACACCUCAACCUAUUCUCAAACUUUUAA
RNAcentral lists this ribosomal RNA (895 nucleotides) under Uroobovella vinicolora. Its description in RNAcentral is "eukaryotic LSU rRNA". It matches the Rfam family "Eukaryotic large subunit ribosomal RNA", at positions 395 to 1069 of the family's 3401-position model. The record is from RNAcentral. Lineage: Eukaryota; Metazoa; Arthropoda; Arachnida; Mesostigmata; Urodinychidae.